AAUGUGAUUAUUCAAGGGUUUCUCCGGCAUGGGUAUUUACCAAAAGCAUCUGAACUUAUUGAUGAAAUGGUUGAGAAGGGAUUUUGUGCAGAUGACACUACUACCGAAUUGGUAGUACAUUUAUUGCGCAAUGAUGAUCCCAUUCUGAGAAUACUUCAAAAUCAUUUUGAAGCUCCAAAAGGUGUAAAUUUUAAGUGAGAUUUUAAAAAUCAACACCUGAUCAACAGAUGCAAGAGGUCUUGUUAUAUUGUGAGUUAUUGGUACUUUAAUCUAUUUCAUAUUACAAUUACAAUCCCUCUAUUUAUUCUUUUGCUUUUUACAACAAACUGUUUAGGAUUAGCACUCAACUCAUGUUUUUAGGCUGUAUAAGCAGAUUAACUUUAAUGAAUCUGUUUCAAUACUACAUUGGUCUGAAAUAAUAAUUAAAAACAAAAAAACUCCAGUUUCCCAUAUACAAUGACAAAAUCGUGUGUGUUCUGUUAUGAAUGCCUAUUUUCACUCAAUUUGAAAUUCAGUUCUCUGGUAUAACAAUCGGGACUUUUACCUAGCUUUUUUAGGUGUCAAAUCAUUUAUUGUCAAGUAUAAAAAAUCAGAAAGGGCAAGAGCAGCAAUUUCUUUUCUUAUUUCAGUGUCAUGCUCAACUCGAAAUUUUUGCUUUUCCUUAUUAGUAUACCAUGUGAAGUGUACAAAGUGUGCAACAAAAUGGAAGAGGUGUAUUUUCCAAAUGGUUGUUGUUAUAACAUGACCAUUCAAGGGUAUCUGGAGCGCUAGGAUUGACCAAUGGCCGGCUAGACAUCUUCUCAAUGAAAGUGUUUCUGGACCAUCUGUUUGCUAUUGUAGGCUCUGUUAUGACCAAAUAUACCACAGCCUUCAGAGAAACAGCUUACAUGAUUUGAUUUCAAACAGCAAGAAACAUACCACACCAUUGUAUUUUAAAAUUUUAACUGUUUUUAGGUUGAUCUCUGACAUCUUCAUGAUUUGCUUUCAAACAGCAAGAGACAGCUUACUUGUCUUGACUUUAAAAGAACUAGGAGACAAGACAAAUCAGAAAUCUUACUUAAAUUGCUUUCCACUUUAUCUUUAGAUUCUUGACCUUUGAAAUUGAUAUGUAAUACGAGUGAAAUCUGGUCAAGGAAGCAGUAGCUUCCUAGUGUUCUUUGAAGUGGAAGGAGUAUUUAUACCAGUUUGAUGUUGGUCAUUGCUUAGAUUCAAUAUAUUUGCUGUUUGAGAAAUUAUGGUGUAUUAAGGAACUAGAAUGCUGUGCACCACAGAUUACAUUAAUUAUUUUUAUUUCUCAGAACAAAAUCGUUAUUUUGUUGGUAUGAAUUCUGGUCUACUGAACUGACAUGCUUCUUUUUCCCUUUUUCAGGCUGAGCACAUGCUAAAUGUCAGAUUAUUAAAAUUUAUGAACAUGAUUUGCUUGAGAUCAAGCUAAUGUGAAGUGCCAAUUCUUGGCACAGACGGUGGUUAAUGUACAAUCUGCAACCCUAGGGGAAAUACCUCUCAACCCAGUUUUUGCAGAAAAUGCAUUCUGUAAUCCUGUGAUUUGGUCACUUCCUUCUUGAUUUACUUCAACUUCUGUCACUUGGAAUAUAUUUAUUUGUAGUUGAUGAAGUAAUUACUUUUUGUGAAUCUCUCUCUUUUACAUGUUCCAUAUUUUCCACGCAUCUAACUUUCUCUUAUUCACGUCUCAUUUCACUCAUUUUGAGAUUCAGUUAUCUGGUAUAACAAUUUGGUAUUAUACCUAGUUUUGUGAGUUAUCAAAUAAUUUAUUGUCAUGUAUGCAAAAAUCAAAGAUGACCUAUUAUUUAAAUUUAUUAAUGUAGGAAUUAUUGAUGAAACAUAGCCUUGAGAAAAACUGGGACAUACAAGGAAGUUCUUCUAUCUCUGUUGUGUCUUCUUUUCCAUGAAUUUGAAAAAUAUUAUGGUAAUUUCCAUCAAUUUAAUGCUAUUCUUUAGGAUCGCUGUACAAGUUCAUUAACUAUUUUGGUUGAUUUUUAGACUGCUGGUUGGACGAGUAUAGUUUUGUAAACAGUGAAAAGGUUUCCACUUAUUGAUAUUUUUGCUUCUAAUCAAUAUGACUUAUUGUUGUUUAUUGAUAAUGAUCAUACUCAUCACGCUUUGUGCUUCAG
RNAcentral lists this unclassified non-coding RNA (2132 nucleotides) under Hevea brasiliensis (rubber tree). The record is from RNAcentral. Lineage: Eukaryota; Viridiplantae; Streptophyta; Magnoliopsida; Malpighiales; Euphorbiaceae.